Molecule: ribosomal RNA, 465 nt
Filed under: uncultured Klebsiella sp.
Lineage: Bacteria; Pseudomonadati; Pseudomonadota; Gammaproteobacteria; Enterobacterales; Enterobacteriaceae
Description: bacterial SSU rRNA
Rfam family: Bacterial small subunit ribosomal RNA
Source: RNAcentral
CCUACGGGUGGCAGCAGUGGGGAAUAUUGCACAAUGGGCGCAAGCCUGAUGCAGCCAUGCCGCGUGUGUGAAGAAGGCCUUCGGGUUGUAAAGCACUUUCAGCGGGGAGGAAGGCGUUAAGGUUAAUAACCUUGGCGAUUGACGUUACCCGCAGAAGAAGCACCGGCUAACUCCGUGCCAGCAGCCGCGGUAAUACGGAGGGUGCAAGCGUUAAUCGGAAUUACUGGGCGUAAAGCGCACGCAGGCGGUCUGUCAAGUCGGAUGUGAAAUCCCCGGGCUCAACCUGGGAACUGCAUUCGAAACUGGCAGGCUAGAGUCUUGUAGAGGGGGGUAGAAUUCCAGGUGUAGCGGUGAAAUGCGUAGAGAUCUGGAGGAAUACCGGUGGCGAAGGCGGCCCCCUGGACAAAGACUGACGCUCAGGUACGAAAGCGUGGGGAGCAAACAGGAUUAGAUACCCCUGUAGUC